This 4968-nucleotide long non-coding RNA is filed under the name Sus scrofa (pig). RNAcentral describes it as "lncRNA (ENSSSCG00000062003.1)". The record is from RNAcentral. Lineage: Eukaryota; Metazoa; Chordata; Mammalia; Artiodactyla; Suidae.
AAGCAAGUAUUUGGAUCCAAAGGACAAGAUAAUGGAAGAUGUUUUUAUAGUAAGAUGGGCCGCAACGUAAAGAAAAGGGAUCAGGAAACUAGUUAGUACUGGAUUUAAUUCUGUAUAAGAGUUUGCAGAAAGAAAUCCUAGCUCCUGACAGACCUGGGAUGUUAAACACGGCUUCCAUCAAAAAAUGGUGUGGUGGAAAUGAGUUCUCACUAACUGGAGAAGGGGAGUGAAAAGGAGUUGAUCAUAAAGUUAUAGAAGUGGUCAGGUUAGAGUCACCCUAUGGAACAAAUCAAGGAUUCAGUAGUAGUGAACCCAAUAAUAAGCAGUCAUAGCAGGAACUCAAGUGGAGAACUGGGUUACAAAGUUCACAGUAAGACCAAGAUGUAGACUGGCUUGAUACUGUGCUGGUAAAUUAUGGAACCUGGGCUCUCUAUGUGACCCUCACCUAGGUCUGCCCUCUAGAGCCUGAAAUGGAACUGCAAGUAGAAAUGUGUACCAAGUGUGCUCAACCUCCUAGGCCUAAAGGACUUAAGAACAGAGUCAAGAAGGGUAUUAAGGCUUUUUAAUCAUUGUUUACUUUAUAAAUAUCUGCCAUGGAGUUCCUGUCAUGGCGCAGUGGUUAACGAAUCCAACUAGGAACCAUGAGGUUGCGGGUUCGAUCCCUGCCCUUGCUCAGUGGGUUAACGAUCCGGCGUUGCCGUGAGCUGUGGUGUAGGUUGCAGGCGCAGCUCGGAUCCCGCGUUGCUGUGGCUCUGGCAUAGGCCGGUAGCUACGGCUCCGAUUCGACCCUAGCCUGGGAACCUCCAUAUGCCGCAGGAGUGGCCCAAGAAAUAGCAAAAAGAGACAAAAAUAAAUAAAUAAAAAUAAAAAUAAAUAAAUAUCUGCCAUAACCAUUUCUAUUAUCCCAGAAUACUCUUAAUAUUUUUAUUUCGUUUCUAGUGGUUAGUCAUUAUCAUAUUCCCAUUUUGGAAACUGUUCUUCCUCUACCUCACAGAGCCUUGCUUCCACCAGAAUGAUGGUGAACAUGUGACCCAGAAUGGCCAGAGUACCUCAUCCCUCUAGGUAAAGUAGUUAUUCAAGGAGGCACCAAAUCCAGAUACGGCUGAUCGGAGACCCCCAUUAGAUUUGAAGACAUUCCUGACAGAAAAAAAAAUGUAAGCGAAGACUAGAUCAUAAUGUAAGCCAAGACUAGAUCAACCAGUGGCCAGCAAUCUUUGCCACUUUGUGGAGUCUUCUUGAACAUGAGGCCAACACAGAGAAAAAUACAGUGGAGAGAGUCAAUUCUCAUUGGCAUCAAUUGUGCCGUUUACCCGAUUGUACCUCAAUCCUAUAUUACUACAUUGACAUACACAGUAAAACAUUUUUUGUUUACACCAAACUGUUUGGGAAAGUAUUGAAUAUUCUCUAAGUAACAUACAAAACAUCUGCAGGGUGUCUGGUCCAGAGUAGCCCUCACAUUAUUUCCCUUUCCCCCAUGCACAUAAUCCUCAUGCCAACUUUUCUUUCUCUAGCUUACGGUAUCCUUUCUAUAACAACAUAUCUGUGUUCAGAACUCUCUUGUACAUAAACAAAGAUUUUUAGAAAGGAAUUCUCAGCUCUCUUCAGGAAUCUGUAUUGUCUUAGAUCAUGAAGAUCCCCAUGGUAAGAGUUUAUCCCAGGCAUCCAGAUUUCACUGGGAAAAGAUAAGAAACUGUUUAUUCUCCCGAAGAAAAUAUUACUUUAACGUUUUUAUCAUUACUAUGCACUAUGGGUGCAGCCCUAAAAUGGUUUCCUCUAACCUUUCAAAAGUUUCAAGUACUAAAUUCACCCAUCAAGGGGUAAUUUUCUUGAUUAUAUUAUUUUGGGAGCUGCUGUCUGAGCAAGAUGAGUUAAGAACUCUAAAAUGUAAUCAGAGCUUCAGCAUCCAAGGUUUAGUAACAAUUAAUAGACUCUGGUACAAAAGAUUUUUAUUAAUGUAGUCCAUAGUUUAGUCUUCAUUUUUAAGAUAAGUUUAUUGCAUACAAGUAAAUAUUUAAAAAUACAUCCAUCUAAACUACUAUGAAGUACCACCUUAUACCAGCCAGAAUGGCCAUCAUCAAAAAGUCUACAAACAAUAAAUGAUGGAGAGGGUGCAGAGAAAAGGGAACCCUCCUACACUACUGGUGGGAAUGUAAACUGAUACAAGCACUAUGAAAAAGAGUAAAAGAGUAUGGAGGUUCCUCAAAAAGCUAAAUAUAGAACUACCAUAAGAUCCAGAAAUCCCACUCCUGGGCAUAUAUCCAAAGAAAACCAUAAUUCGAAAAGAUACAUGCACUCCAAUGUUCACUGCAGCACUAUUUACAACAGCUAAUACAUGGAAGCAACCUAAAUAUCCAUCGACAGAGGAAUGGAUAAAGAGGAUGUGAUUCAUAUAUACAAUGGAAUAUUACUCAGCCAUAAAAAGCAUGAAAUAACUCCUUCAGCAACAUGGAUGAACCUAGAGAUUAUCUUAUAAGUGAAGUAAAUCAGACAGUGAGAGACAAAACUUUCUUUCUUUGAAGAAAGUCUAGCCUCUCAGUUAAAUUCAUAGUCUUUGGAAUCAGGUAGGUCACCUUAAAAUUCCAAUUAUACCACUUAUUAGUUGUGUGACCUUGAGAAUAUUACUCAAACCCUCUGAUCUUCUCUUUCCUCCUUUAAGAAAGGGGGACAAUAAAUGAUAUCUACCACAUAUGGUUACUGUGAGGAUUAAACAGAAUAAUGUACAUACAUAGUCCUUAGUAUGUGAUAAAUAAUAAACAGUGGCAACUUUUGACUGGCAGGCUAAGUAGCUUACAUAUCAACUACUGGUAGAAUGAGACACUGAACCACUGAAGAGGUAUAAAUUAUGAAGAAGGCACGCAAAGAAAUUAAUCUAAAGAAGCAGAAUGACCAAGUGGGAGGGGGAGGGAGCGGGAUGGAUUGGGAACUUGGGGUUAAUAGAUACAGACUAUUGCCUUCGGAAUGGAUAAGCAAUGAGAUCCUGCUGUGUAGCACUGGGAGCUAUAUCUAGUCACUUAUGAUGGAGCAUGAUAAUGUGAGAAAAAAGAAUGUAUACAUGCAUGUGUAACUGGGUUGCCAUGCUGUACAGUAGAAAAUUGACAGAACACUGUAAACCAGCCAUAACGAAAAAAAAUCAUUAUAUAAAAAAAGCAGAAAGAAGUAUAGAGAGAGACACAAGGGAAGAGAGACUGCUCAAUGUGCUUAUUACAAGAGUCCAACGAAGUAAGUGUCUGAUCUAGUCAUUAGCAGUAGGAAUAGAAAGAAAAACUGGAACAAGACUCACAAUUAAAAUAAUUUUAUGUCAUUUCCUCUGUUGUGUAUUGAUCUAACACUCUAGUUUAUUGAGUAAGGACUUCAAUGAGAAAUGUAUGUUAAAACCUCAUUGUAUAGCCAAGACACAGUAGCAACCUAAAUGCCUGAUGACAAAUAAAUGGAUAAAGAAGAUGUGGUACAUAUAUACAAUGGAAUGUUACUCAGCCAUAAACAAGAACGAAAUAAUGCCAUCUGUAGCAACACAGAUGGACCUAGAGAUUAUCAUACUUACCUCAUACUAUGUGAGGUAAGUCAGACUGAGAAAGACAAAUACCAUCUGAGAUUACCUAUAUGUGGAAUAUAAUAAAAAUGAUGUAAAAGAACUUAUAAAACAGAAACAAACUGAUAGAUUUCAAAAUCAAACUUAUAGUUACUAAAGGAGAAACUGGAGGAGGGAUAAAUCGGGAGUUUGGGAUUUACAUAUACACACUAUUACAUAUAAAAUAGGUAACUAUCAAGGACCCACUGUAUAGCACAGGGAAAUCUACUCAAUAUUCUGUAAUAACCUAUAUAGGAAAAGAAUCUUAAAAAGAAUGUUAUAUGUAUAUUGUACAACUGAAUCAAUUUGCUACACACCUGAAACUAAUAUAAUACUAAGUCAACUAUACUCCAAUAAAAUGUUUAAACCCUCAUUGUAACCAUUAAUAUUAAGUGUUAAACUGCUAGCAAAAGUAAAAAAUAGGUGAAAUUCAACAGAGAGAAAUCCUAUACAAAUAUUAAUAUCUAAUGUGCCAACCCAUCAUUUUUAUUUGCAGACUCAUCUAUUUCAAUCAAAUUACACUAUUUAUACCCAAUCUUUCAUCUUGAUAGCAUGCCAAACUGUAGCAAUUACUUACCUUCUAAUAGUAUAUGUAUUAUUUUAGAAGGUUUUGUGGACUUCUGUGAAAAAUUACUAGUUUUGGAGCUAAAGAAAAAAAUAUUUGAAGCCUGAAACUGUGGGUUAAAUCUGAGCCAGUCGAGUACAUUAUAAUUAUAAUGCAGUUAGUUUUGGGUUACCUUCAGCAGCAGUGUUGGCAUAAUUAGCUCCAUCAAAUGUUAAAAAAUAAUUUUUGUAAAUUACUCAUUUAAUUGUUUUCAUCUUGGAUAUAGAGACAUUCUUUAAUUAGGCAUGAGUCAACUAACAGUGUCACAGGCUAAUUUGCUGAUACGAGCAGAGAAGAAACAGAGUGCAGUCCUGGAAGAUGCUUUUUAUAAACCUUCCAGCCUUGCAAGAAUGCUCUGAGUGCUGCCUUCUUCAGCAUGAACGCCAUUUCUAUGAGUGGUAAACUACUCUUGUCAAAGCUAGAUAGAAUAACAUAUGGGAGGGUGCCAUUUUUAACUAAAAAUCUACAAAAAUAUAAGCCAUGUGUUGUAGACCUUCUUGUCAAGUACCAAAGUUACAUUAGCGUUGCUGAUCUGAUCAGAAGCAUCCAGAGAUAUAGACUAAGAAUUGAGUUAAGAAUUCCUAUUUGCUCACCAACAAGCUUGCCUCUAUGUUUAUGUAACUAGAAUGUGUAUGUUUAUGAUAGCUUCUUUGCACAGGUGAGCAAGCCACCAGAAGCAAUCCCAUCUAGCCCUCCUUACCCUCUCCUGUUUCAGAGCAGCAGGCCCUUUUCUUGAACCUAUUUCUUUUUAUCCCCUUACCCUCAAGUUGCCAGAACUGGACAAAACUCACCAGUU